Molecule: ribosomal RNA, 253 nt
Filed under: uncultured bacterium
Lineage: Bacteria
Description: partial 16S ribosomal RNA
Rfam family: Bacterial small subunit ribosomal RNA
Source: RNAcentral
UACGGGGGGGGCAAGCGUUGUUCGGAAUUACUGGGCGUAAAGGGCUCGUAGGCGGCCAACUAAGUCAGACGUGAAAUCCCUCGGCUUAACCGGGGAACUGCAUCUGAUACUGGAUGGCUUGAGUUCGGGAGAGGGAUGCGGAAUUCCAGGUGUAGCGGUGAAAUGCGUAGAUAUCUGGAGGAACACCGGUGGCGAAGGCGGCGACCUGGGAAGAUACUGACGCUGAGAUGCGAAAGCGUGGGGAGCAAACAGG